RNAcentral lists this ribosomal RNA (437 nucleotides) under uncultured bacterium. Its description in RNAcentral is "partial 16S ribosomal RNA". It matches the Rfam family "Bacterial small subunit ribosomal RNA", at positions 341 to 792 of the family's 1533-position model. The record is from RNAcentral.
ACGGAAGGCAGCAGUGGGGAAUAUUGGGCAAUGGGCGCAAGCCUGACCCAGCAACGCCGCGUGAAGGAAGAAGGUUUUCGGAUUGUAAACUUCUAUCCUCGGUGAAGAAAAAGAUGACGGUAGCCGAGAAGGAAGCCCCGGCUAACUACGUGCCAGCAGCCGCGGUAAUACGUAGGGGGCAAGCGGUGUCCGGAAUGACUGGGCGUAAAGGGCGUGUAGGCGGCCGAUUAAGUCUGAAGUGAAAGUCCUGCUUUCAAGGUGGGAAUUGCUUUGGAGACUGGUUGGCUUGAGUGCGGAAGGGGUAAGUGGAAUUCCCAGUGUAGCGGUGAAAUGCGUAGAGAUUGGGAGGAACACCAGUGGCGAAGGCGACUUACUGGGCCGUAACUGACGCUGAGGCGCGAAAGCGUGGGGAGCGAACAGGAUUAGAUACCCUGGUA